RNAcentral lists this ribosomal RNA (243 nucleotides) under uncultured bacterium. RNAcentral's name for it is "partial 16S ribosomal RNA". It matches the Rfam family "Bacterial small subunit ribosomal RNA", at positions 793 to 1041 of the family's 1533-position model. The record is from RNAcentral.
GUCCACGCCGUAAACGAUGCAUACUAGGUGUUGGCCCGUUGGGUCAGUGCUGCAGUUAACGCAUUAAGUAUGCCACCUGGGGAGUACGUCGGCAACGAUGAAACUCAAAGGAAUUGACGGGGGCCCGCACAAGCGGUGGAGCAUGUGGCUUAAUUCGAUGCAACGCGAGGAACCUUACCUGGGCUAAAUCCACAGCGCUACCUCUGGAAACAGAGGGUUUCUUCGGAACGCUAUGGAAGGUGC